GGCUUCGAAGCCGGCCGCCUGACCUGGGGCAAGUGCUUUCAACUCUCUGAACUUCGGUUCCUCAUCUGCCAGUUGGCAGACGCUCAGCAAAUCUUCCUAGACUCACGGGGCGAAUUGUACAGUUGGGUAAAUCGAGGCCCAGAGAUGGCAAAAGGACCGUCCAAGGUCGUACAGCCACCCGGAAUUACAAUUCUUUUCUGCCGGGUCACACGCUGUCAUCCACGUGUUACCUAAGAGAGCUUUCCAGCCUGUGCUAAGAAAACUGCCCCACAUCAUCUGCAGUAGGACGGGGGAGUUGGAGCCCUGGUCAGGCCACUCUGCUACUGACCACAGUUUUCUCAUCUCUAAAAAGGCGCAGUAACAAUAUAAUUACCGUAUGCAGUCCCCCAGGAUACAGGGUCAAAGGAGAGCACAACCAUCGCAGUUGGAAGCCCAUGGGGCAGCAGGGCCCAGGACACAGUGAGCAUACAAUAGACAUUAGCUGCUGUGGUGUCUUGAUUUCAAGCCCAGUGCAGAUGCAUCUGACUUACGAAACUUCAGUGACACCUGCUCUGUGCCAGACACUGAAGAUGGAGCAGUGAACAGCACUGACCCAGCCUGUCCUCCUGUUGCCUGCAGGCCAGCAAGGUCUCGCUGUGUUACCCUGGCUGGAGUGCAGUGGCUACUUACAGGCAUGAUCAUAGCAUACUGCAGCCUCGAACUCCUGGACUAGAGCAGUUCUCCUGCCUCAGCCUCCAGAGCAGCUGGGACUGCAGACACGCACCACAGAGCCCAGCCUGAGUCAUUUUGAUUCUGUAACUGGCUUCCUCUCGGCGGGCAGGCUCACACCCUCCACCCCCAGCUGGAGAUGGAAGGAGGAUGCUCACCGCCCAUUCCUCAUGCAGGCCAUCGAUGGAAAUGUCAGACAGUGCGAGUCCACGCCUGAACACUUCUGGGGUCCGCUCUGGGACUGACACUGGCAGAUCCAUCGAUGCCGUUCCAUUGUUUGCUGACUUUCAUUGAUUCUAUGAGAAGUCUGCAGUCUUUUGCAGCGUUGUUUUCCUAUGUAUAAUUGUCUCCUCCCACCCCACUCACCCCAGCUGCUUUCCACAUUCUCUCUCUUUGAUUUUCAGCAGUCUGCCCAUGAUGUGCCUAAAUAGGACUUUCUUUGCAUUCAUCUUGGCUGGGGCUCACUGAACUUUCUGAAUCUGUAGAUUAAUUUUCUUUUUUCAAUAAACCUUGGAAUAUUUUCAGC
Molecule: long non-coding RNA, 1234 nt
Filed under: Homo sapiens (human)
Lineage: Eukaryota; Metazoa; Chordata; Mammalia; Primates; Hominidae
Description: long intergenic non-protein coding RNA 963
Source: RNAcentral